This 39-nucleotide non-coding RNA is filed under the name Echinostoma caproni. Lineage: Eukaryota; Metazoa; Platyhelminthes; Trematoda; Plagiorchiida; Echinostomatidae. The record is from RNAcentral.
CUGCUGACGAGUCCCAAACAGGACGAAACAGCUGUUCAG